Molecule: non-coding RNA, 186 nt
Organism: Drosophila suzukii
Lineage: Eukaryota; Metazoa; Arthropoda; Insecta; Diptera; Drosophilidae
Source: RefSeq, a predicted model, not a curated record
CUAAGCGAAUCCAAGCAAACUAAGCGAAUUCAAAUAAACAUUCGGAGGUGCCACAGAAAUCGCAGGGCGAUAUGCAGCGGUAUAAACUUCACGCGUCCCAGCGCUGAAGUGAAUUCUGAGGCACCGGUAGUUUCAAAUAAAAUGAUGAAGCAUAAGUACAGUACUUAUGUGAGGAAAAAGCGAAAA